This 242-nucleotide non-coding RNA is filed under the name Anoxybacillus sp. RNAcentral's name for it is "T-box sequence". It matches the Rfam family "T-box leader". From Rfam's summary of the family: Uncharged tRNA acts as the effector for transcription antitermination of genes in the T-box leader family. T-boxes are found upstream of many aminoacyl-tRNA synthetase genes and some amino acid biosynthetic genes usually in Gram-positive bacteria. The record is from RNAcentral. Lineage: Bacteria; Bacillati; Bacillota; Bacilli; Caryophanales; Anoxybacillaceae.
CAUCAUGCGAUGAAGAGGAGAGUAAAUAAAUUCAUUCUUUUCAGAGAGCUCCGGUAGCUGGGAAGGAGUAAGAAUGGUUUAUUGAAGCAAGCCUUGGAGCAUCGCACGGGAACCGAAAAAAAGGGGAUCGUGUGACAGGUGGCGCCUGUUAUAGAGCUAAGGUAUUCGUGUACCUACUGAGUUUAAUAUGGUGACAUAUUAAUAAAAUGGGGUGGCAUCGCGAAUGAAAAUUCGUCCCCAAG